The sequence is a ribosomal RNA, 1677 nucleotides long. The stretch from base 867 to 1677 matches the Rfam family "Eukaryotic large subunit ribosomal RNA", at positions 1 to 829 of the family's 3401-position model.
AAGUCGUAACAAGGUUUCCGUAGGCGGAACAUUGCGUCCUUUCGGGUACAUCUGCUGAAACCUUAGUGAAUUGAUUAGGCGACUCUAAACAAAUAUAAUCCUCGGGGCUUGCCCUUGAGCACUAGCCAUUUCUUUUAGAUGGCAACAUUACCAGUAUGCGGGAACAUUCAACUAAGUUGGAUAACCCGCAGUCACAUUUGUGGCCCACAGGCUAAAUGGUAAUGGGCAUAGAUGCAAGGCAGCUAUGCUUCAGAUAUAGUCGGUCCCCAGAUACCUCUGGGAAACUUGUGGACUUGGUGGCGGAGCUCCUUCGAAACCAAUUUCCACGAGCGAGUAAACGUUCCGUAGGUGAACCUGCGGAAGGAUCAUUACCGAGAGAGGGGCUUCGCGCUCCCGGGGGUUUCGGCCUCCACCUCUUCACCCAUUGUGUACCUACCUCUGUUGCUUUGGCGGGCCAUGGGGUUCGCCUCUCGCCGGCCUCCGGGCUGGUGAGCGCCCGUCGGAGGCCCUUCAAAUUCUGCUUAUAGUGACGUCCGAGUUAAAACACAAAUAGCAAAAACUUUCAACAACGGAUCUCUUGGUUCCAGCAUCGAUGAAGAACGCAGCGAAAUGCGAUAAGUAAUGUGAAUUGCAGAAUUCAGUGAAUCAUCGAAUCUUUGAACGCACAUUGCGCCCCUUGGCAUUCCGGGGGGCAUGCCUGUUCGAGCGUCAUUACACCCCUCAAGUAUAGCUUGGUAUUGGGUCCUCGCCCCUCGGGCGUGCCCGAAAAGCAGUGGCGGUCCGGAGCGACUUUAAGCGUAGUAAAUUUUCAUCCCGCUUUGAAAGAUCGCGUCGCGGCUUGCCAGAAACCGCAAAUGUUUUCAUAAUGACCUCGGAUCAGGUAGGGAUACCCGCUGAACUUAAGCAUAUCAAUAAGCGGAGGAAAAGAAACCAACAGGGAUUGCCUCAGUAACGGCGAGUGAAGCGGCAACAGCUCAAAUUUGAAAUCUGGCCCCGUCGGGGUCCGAGUUGUAAUUUGUAGAGAGUGUUUCGGGUGAGACCACGGUCUAAGUUCAUUGGAACAUGGCGUCAUAGAGGGUGAGAAUCCCGUAUGUGACUGUGGCUCGAGCCCAUGUGAAGCCUCUUCGACGAGUCGAGUUGUUUGGGAAUGCAGCUCAAAAUGGGUGGUAAAUUUCAUCUAAAGCUAAAUACUGGCUGGAGACCGAUAGCGCACAAGUAGAGUGAUCGAAAGAUGAAAAGCACUUUGGAAAGAGAGUCAAACAGUACGUGAAAUUGUUGAAAGGGAAGCGCUUGCAACCAGACCUGUCCGUAGGUGAUCAGCCGCUGUUCUCAGCGGUGCACUCGCUCUGCGAUCAGGCCAGCAUCGGUUUCGGCGGUUGGAUAAAGGCCUUGGGAAUGUAGCUCCCUUCGGGGAGUCUUAUAGCCCUCGGUGCAAUGCGGCCAGCCGGGACCGAGGACCGCGCUUCGGCUAGGAUGCUGGCGUAAUGGUUGUAAGCGACCCGUCUUGAAACACGGACCAAGGAGUCUAACAUCUAUGCGAGUGUUUGGGUGUUAAACCCAUGCGCGGAAUGAAAGUGAACGGAGGUGAGAACCCUUUAGGGCGCAUCAUCGACCGAUCCAGAUGUCUUCGGAUGGAUUUGAGUAUGAGCAUAGCUGUUGGGACCCGAAAGAUGGUGA